GAUGAACGCUGGCGGCGUGCCUAAUACAUGCCAGUCGAGCGAACAGACGAGGAGCUUGCUCCUCUGACGUUAGCGGCGGACGGGUGAGUAACACGUGGAUAACCUACCUAUAAUACUGGGAUAACUUCGGGAAACCGGAGCUAAUACCGGAUAAUAUAUUGAACCGCAUGGUUCAAUAGUGAAAGACGGUUUUGCUGUCACUUAUAGAUGGAUCCGCGCCGCAUUAGCUAGUUGGUAAGGUAACGGCUUACCAAGGCAACGAUGCGUAGCCGAUCUGAGAGGGUGAUCGGCCACACUGGAACUGAGACACGGUCCAGACUCCUACGGGAGGCAGCAGUAGGGAAUAUUCGGCAAUGGGCGAAAGCCUGACGCAGCCAUGCCGCGUGAGUGAAGAAGGUCUUCGGAUCGUAAAACUCUUUUAUUAGGGAAGAACAACUGUGUAAGUAACUCUGCACGUCUUGACGGUACCCAAUCAGAAAGCAACGGCUAACUACGUG
RNAcentral lists this ribosomal RNA (497 nucleotides) under uncultured bacterium. Its description in RNAcentral is "partial 16S ribosomal RNA". It matches the Rfam family "Bacterial small subunit ribosomal RNA", at positions 28 to 507 of the family's 1533-position model. The record is from RNAcentral.